GAGCAGUGUAUCCAGCAGCAGCGCGAAGAGCGGCCAAGGUGUGCGCGCAUCGGCCGGACGGCAACACUCGGAGCACGUCCGCACCGCAAGUUGCCCGCGACGCGUCUGUAGUGGACACCUGUGCAUCCCAAUGACCAGUACACGUCUCCGCGGAGUGGUCUGAAGUCAGGUCCACGCUUUCUUGCCACAAGCUAAAUGGACGCCGCUCCUCGGAGGAGGAGGAGGAUCCCGGACCGAGUGAUGCGCAUGCGCAGCAGCCGAAGGAGGAGCAGUGGCGACGUGCAGUGAGCCAGUGUUGUUGGUGUGAUAAAAA
RNAcentral lists this long non-coding RNA (313 nucleotides) under Dermacentor andersoni. Its description in RNAcentral is "uncharacterized LOC126545648". The record is from RNAcentral. Lineage: Eukaryota; Metazoa; Arthropoda; Arachnida; Ixodida; Ixodidae.